GACGAACGCUGGCGGCGUGCUUAACACAUGCAAGUCGAACGGAAAGGCCCUGCUUUUGUGGGGUGCUCGAGUGGCGAACGGGUGAGUAACACGUGAGUAACCUGCCCUUGACUUUGGGAUAACUUCAGGAAACUGGGGCUAAUACCGGAGAGGAGCUCCUGCUGCGUGGUGGGGGUUGGAAAGUUUCGGCGGUUGGGGAUGGACUCGCGGCUUAUCAGCUUGUUGGUGGGGUGGUGGCUUACCAAGGCUUUGACGGGUAGCCGGCCUGAGAGGGUGACCGGCCACAUUGGGACUGAGAUACGGCCCAGACUCCUACGGGAGGCAGCAGUGGGGAAUAUUGCACAAUGGGCGGAAGCCUGAUGCAGCAACGCCGCGUGCGGGAUGACGGCCUUCGGGUUGUAAACCGCUUUCGCCUGUGACGAAGCGUGAGUGACGGUAAUGGGUAAAGAAGCACCGGCUAACUACGUG
This 468-nucleotide ribosomal RNA is filed under the name uncultured bacterium. RNAcentral's name for it is "partial 16S ribosomal RNA". It matches the Rfam family "Bacterial small subunit ribosomal RNA", at positions 28 to 507 of the family's 1533-position model. The record is from RNAcentral.